CUUCAGUGCCAGAAGUCAGAUCAUAUCUGAUGGUAUUUUGGAGACGCUUAAUGCUGCACCAUGGGUGUGCAAUGGGCCUCUGGGCAGGACAGAUUCCUACAGAGAUCUACUUACCACCUUGGACCUGGUGCUGUUUCACAUCCAGCUGCUCGUUGUGCAUCUCAUUCAGUUUUGCUACAAGCAGUUUGCGGGCGCCGUACUCUUGGAGAGAGUGCAUUAGAUACAGUUCAUGCCGAGUUCCAAGGUUUCUCUAUUGUAAUUCCAUCCCCCCAAAAACAGCAGGCACCUUGGAGAGCUCCUGUGAUUCAGGUGAGAACUCUGAAGGCAAACGUGUGCCUCCCCUUCCCCCCAAAAGCAAACUAAAUGUAAAUUCUCAGUUGCCUCAGAGAUCGUUCAGUUUAUCCCCAUGUGAGGCUUGUAAAUACCAACAAGUGGAGGAAACAAAGGAAAGUCUAGAAAUGCUAAGGGAAGAAAUAUUUUUGAGUGUUUCAAUCUAUGUGCUGAAACCCAAGUCUCCAAGGUUCAACAAAUGCUAUCUCCACGACUGUGGAGUCUACAGUCUGUGCAGAAGCUGGUUGUCUGGGACAGCAGCUACAAGUCAAGGCUUCUGGUAGCAGCACAGCCAGCCCUAAGGGAACACGGAUGUUCUUGAGAUCCAGCAUUUCUACAGUGCCAGCUGCUCACCACCAGCUGCAGUACUUCUCCUGGCACUAAAGGAUGAGCACCUGGGAGGAAGAGAUCAGAUGGGUUCAGUGCUAAUAUCUGCUGGGUGCACUCCUCAGACACGGUGGUGACCAUGGCCUUCAAGGGCUCUAGGGCACGGAUUGUCUCCUUCUGAUGAGCUAAAGAGAGCAGAGGUAAGUUCUUACAAUGAGCAACAAAACCUGAAUUUUACUUGAAUUUUGUCUCCUUGAGUAUUUCAGGCUUUGUGGCAAUGAACACUGAUGAUGCCAUCAUGCUUCACUAGGUUGUCAUCAUUUAAACACAGGCAGCAUACGGAGCUGAAGAUAGCUGCUAAUUAGUGGUUUACCUGGCUUUGUAAAGGCAUGGUCUUCACAAACUUAGAUUGACUUUCUUGUCUCCAAAUGCAAGGCCUUGUGCCACCUGCAUACAAACUUGUCUACACAUUCUCUUCUCUUUUCAGGGACGUGUUGCCCUCUCUUCAUUUCUCUUUUUCAUCAGUACAACUAAUAAAGAACUCACUGUUA
This is a long non-coding RNA of Lagopus leucura (white-tailed ptarmigan), 1208 nucleotides long. RefSeq lists it as uncharacterized. NCBI's taxonomy places the organism in Eukaryota, Metazoa, Chordata, Aves, Galliformes, Phasianidae. The record is from RefSeq and is a predicted model, not a curated record. The transcript is spliced from 4 exons.